CGACCCUAACCUUCGCCGCUACGGCUCAAGACAGAGGAAGAGCGCAGCGUUCAUCUGGUUCCCAAGCGAAGGGGCAAUGAAGUCGGAGAAGAUUGUUUUCGUAGCCAUUGUGAAAAUCAAGAACGAGUGGUUCAGAUUAACCUCCCGUCCAUGGACUGUUUACAACCCGCCAUCCUUCUGGCAAACAUUCAAUCAGCAGAUGACACAAGUACAGCGCGUGAAGGCGCGAAUGGCGCAGGCUGAAAGACAAGCCGCUGCAGCCGAGGCACAGGCCGCUGCAGGUGCCGCUGCAUAGGAAUCCACCGUCUUCUUUGACAUUCGGAACAGGUCGAAGGAUUACCGGAGCCAUAAGAAGUAACGAGUGCGACCGGAAUUAUCCGAAUGUAUCACACGAUGGGAAUCGGACACAACUGAAUGACAAUCAAUGACUAGGAACACUGAUAAAUUCAAUCUCAUAACCGUUCCAUGGAAUUUCAAUGGUUGGUUAUGCUGUGGAAAUAAACUUGAAAUGUA
Haliotis rubra (blacklip abalone) is the source of this 513-nucleotide long non-coding RNA. RefSeq lists it as uncharacterized. The record is from RefSeq and is a predicted model, not a curated record. NCBI's taxonomy places the organism in Eukaryota, Metazoa, Mollusca, Gastropoda, Lepetellida, Haliotidae. The transcript has 3 exons.